AAUCCAUAGGUUAAUGAGGCGAACCGGGGGAACUGAAACAUCUAAGUACCCCGAGGAAAAGAAAUCAACCGAGAUUCCCCCAGUAGCGGCGAGCGAACGGGGAGGAGCCCAGAGCCUGAAUCAGCAUGUGUGUUAGUGGAAGCGUCUGGAAAGGCGCGCGAUACAGGGUGACAGCCCCGUACACAAAAGCGCAUGUGCUGUGAGCUCGAUGAGUAGGGCGGGACACGUGGUAUCCUGUCUGAAUAUGGGGGGACCAUCCUCCAAGGCUAAAUACUCCUGACUGACCGAUAGUGAACCAGUACCGUGAGGGAAAGGCGAAAAGAACCCCGGCGAGGGGAGUGAAAAAGAACCUGAAACCGUGUACGUACAAGCAGUGGGAGCCCCACCACUAAGCCAGUGGUGAACUCCACAUACGCAUCCUUUGCUGAGGAUACGGUUAACGGAGCGAAAGCGACGUUCAACCGCAAAAGAAGCAGAGGGGGCUUAGUGGUGGGGUGACUGCGUACCUUUUGUAUAAUGGGUCAGCGACUUAUAUUCUGUAGCAAGGUUAACCGAAUAGGGGAGCCGGAGGGAAACCGAGUCUUAAUUGGGCGUUAAGUUGCAGGGUAUAGACCCGAAACCCGGUGAUCUAGCCAUGGGCAGGUUGAAGGUUGGGUAACACUAACUGGAGGACCGAACCGACUAAUGUUGAAAAAUUAGCGGAUGACCUGUGGCUGGGGGUGAAAGGCCAAUCAAACCGGGAGAUAGCUGGUUCUCCCCGAAAGCUAUUUAGGUAGCGCCUCGUGAAUUCAUCUCCGGGGGUAGAGCACUGUUUCGGCUAGGGGGCCAUCCCGGCUUACCAACCCGAUGCAAACUGCGAAUACCGGAGAAUGUUAUCACGGGAGACACACGGCGGGUGCUAACGUCCGUCGUGAAGAGGGAAACAACCCAGACCGCCAGCUAAGGUCCCAAAGUCAUGGUUAAGUGGGAAACGAUGUGGGAAGGCCCAGACAGCCAGGAUGUUGGCUUAGAAGCAGCCAUCAUUUAAAGAAAGCGUAAUAGCUCACUGGUCGAGUCGGCCUGCGCGGAAGAUGUAACGGGGCUAAACCAUG
Molecule: ribosomal RNA, 1091 nt
Filed under: Salmonella enterica subsp. enterica serovar Heidelberg
Lineage: Bacteria; Pseudomonadati; Pseudomonadota; Gammaproteobacteria; Enterobacterales; Enterobacteriaceae
Description: partial 23S ribosomal RNA
Rfam family: Bacterial large subunit ribosomal RNA
Source: RNAcentral